RNAcentral lists this ribosomal RNA (301 nucleotides) under uncultured bacterium. RNAcentral describes it as "partial 16S ribosomal RNA". It matches the Rfam family "Bacterial small subunit ribosomal RNA", at positions 509 to 807 of the family's 1533-position model. The record is from RNAcentral.
CAGCCGCCACGGGAAUACGUAGGUGGCAAGCGUUGUCCGGAAUUAUUGGGCGUAAAGCGCGCGCAGGCGGUUUCUUAAGUCUGAUGUGAGAGCCCCCGGCUCAACCGGGGAGGGUCAUUGGAAACUGGGAAACUUGAGUGCAGAAGAGGAGAGUGGAAUUCCACGUGUAGCGGUGAAAUGCGUAGAGAUGUGGAGGAACACCAGUGGCGAAGGCGACUCUCUGGUCUGUAACUGACGCUGAGGAGCGAAAGCGUGGGGAGCGAACAGGAUUAGAUACCCCUGUAGUCCCUGUCUCUUAUAC